This 481-nucleotide ribosomal RNA is filed under the name uncultured bacterium. Its description in RNAcentral is "partial 16S ribosomal RNA". It matches the Rfam family "Bacterial small subunit ribosomal RNA", at positions 30 to 504 of the family's 1533-position model. The record is from RNAcentral.
AUUGAACGCUGGCGGCAGGCCUAACACAUGCAAGUCGAGCGGAUGAAGGGAGCUUGCUCCUGGAUUCAGCGGCGGACGGGUGAGUAAUGCCUAGGAAUCUGCCUGGUAGUGGGGGAUAACGUCCGGAAACGGGCGCUAAUACCGCAUACGUCCUGAGGGAGAAAGUGGGGGAUCUUCGGACCUCACGCUAUCAGAUGAGCCUAGGUCGGAUUAGCUAGUUGGUGGGGUAAAGGCCUACCAAGGCGACGAUCCGUAACUGGUCUGAGAGGAUGAUCAGUCACAGUGGAACUGAGACAGGGUCGACACCCCUGGGAGGGGGCGGUGUGGGAAAUUUGGGACAGGGGGCAAACCCCUUCCCGCCCCGUCCCGUGUGUGAAAAAAGGUUUUUGGUUUUAAAAAGCAUUUAAAUGGGGGAGAGGGGGGAAAAUUUAAACCCCUUUGUUUUUAGCCUUCCCCAACAAAAUAACCCCCGUAAAAUUUC